UGCCUUCCGGGUUUGAGAGCUUAGGACCCUGGGUUGGUGGGGUCAGAGGGAGAGGGGGUGCCUUCCUCCCGGACUGCUGGGGGUGCAGGGCGCCUUGGGUGUAGCACCCAGAACAGGUUUCUGAUCUCUAACUUGGCUGUGAUCAUUGUGAUGGAGCAAGAAAAAAAAACUGUUGGUCUCCAAUUCUAACGACUUUAUGGAGAGAGAGAGUUUGAAAAGCCCCUUCACAGGAGGUGCAAGUAUGAAUAAUUUGGAAACUGUUCACCACAAUAAUUCUAAGGCAGAUAAAGAGAAACCUUCAGAAUGGUCUAAAAGACAUAGACCACAACAUUAUAAGCAUGAGGAUGCAAAAGAAAUGCCACUGACAUGGGUUCAAGAUGAGAUUUGGUGUCAUGAUUCCUAUGAGAGUGAUGGCAAGUCAGAGAAUUGGGGAAAUUUUAUAGCUAAAGAGGAGGAAAAACCCAAUCACCAGGAAUGGGACCCAGGAGAACAUACCAAUGCCUGUGUCCAGCAGAAUUCAUCCUUUGUAGACAGACCCUACAAAUGUUGCAAAUGUUGGAAAAGCUUCAGUAAUAGUUCUCAUUUGCGUACUCACCAGAGGACCCACUCAGGAGAAAAGCCUUAUAAAUGCUCUGAGUGUGCAAAAUGCUUUUGUAACAGUUCUCACCUGAUUCAGCAUCUAAGAAUGCACACAGGAGAGAAGCCCUACCAGUGUGGUGAAUGUGGGAAAAGCUUCAGCAAUACCUCCCAUCUUAUUAUCCAUGAGAGAACUCACACGGGAGAGAAACCCUAUAAAUGUCCCGAGUGUGGGAAGAGAUUCAGCAGCAGCUCUCACCUUAUUCAGCAUCACAGAUCACAUACGGGUGAAAAACCAUAUGAAUGUUCUGUCUGCGGAAAAGGCUUCAGUCACAGCUAUGUCCUAAUAGAACAUCAGAGGACUCACACUGGAGAAAAACCUUACAAGUGCCCUGAUUGUGGGAAGAGUUUUAGUCAGAGUUCCAGCCUCAUUCGCCACCAGCGGACACACACAGGUGAGAAACCCUACAAAUGUCUUGAGUGUGGAAAAAGCUUCGGUUGUAAUUCUACUCUAAUAAAACAUCAGAGAAUACAUACAGGAGAAAAGCCUUAUCAAUGUCCAGAAUGUGGGAAGAAUUUUAGUCGUAGUUCAAACCUUAUUACACACCAGAAAAUGCACACAGGAGAGAAAUCCUAUGAAAGUUCGGAAUAUGAAGAAAGUUUGAGUCAGAACUGCAAUGUGAUAGAAGAAUGCAGAAUCCAGUUAGGAGAGAAACCAUAUAGAUGUUGUGAAUGUGGAAAGAGUUUUGGCCUUAGCUCCCAUCUCAUUAGACAUCAGAGAACACAUACAGGAGAAAAACCUUACAGAUGUUCUGUGUGCUGGAAAACUUUCAGUCAGAGUUCCACCCUGGUGAUUCACCAAAGGACACAUACAGGAGAGAAACCUUAUAAAUGUCCUGAUUGUGGUGAAUGCUUCAGUCAGAGCUUUAACCUUAUCAGGCACCAGAGGACCCACAUAGGGGAAAAACCUUACAAAUGUACCAGCUGUGGGAAAUGCUUCAGCAGAAGUGCCUACCUCAGUCAGCAUCGAAAAAUUCACAUAGAAAAGCCUUUUAAGUCUCCCGACGGGGAUUUUCCUCAUGAAUGGACUUGGAAAAACUGUUCAGGGGAAAUGCCCCUCAUCCCUUCAUUUUCUGUCUCAAAUUCAUCUUCUUGAGUCCCAAAGCCUGGUUGGUGAUGGUUUUUUCUUCCUUGUUGGACCAUGACAAUUUAGGUAUUCUGUGAUUGUUGUGCUAUAAAGUUUCUUUGAUGUGUUUGUCAAAACAUUUGGAAAAAGUCAACCUCCCAGUUUAAAGGAUGGGAAGACCCCAAUCACCAGGUUAUUGGAUCUGUCCAGUGAGAGAUUCAUCCACCAAGGAUGAAGAAAGGAGGACUUUUAAAAAUUUAAGGGAAGCAGGAACCUUGGAGAGCCAGAGUGGCACCACUUUAAAAAUCAAAUCCAGGAGCCAAGAUGACCGAAUAGGAACAGCUCCGGUCUACAGCUCCCAGCGUGAGUGACACAGAAGAUGGGUGAUUUCUGCAUUUCCAACUGAGGUACCGGGUUCAUCUCACUGGGGUGUGCCAGACAGUGGGUGUAGGACAGUGGGUGCAGCGCACCAUGCGCAAGCCGAAGCAGGGUGAGGUAUCGCGUCACCUGGGAAGUGCAAGGGGUCAGGGAAUUCCCUUUCCUAGUCAAAGAAAGGGGUGACAGAUGGCACCUGGAAAAUCGGGUCACUCCCACCCUAAUACUGUGCUUUCCCAACGGGCUUAAAAAACGGCACACCAGGAGAUUAUAUCCUGCACCUGGCUCAGAGGGUCCUACGCCCACGGAGUCUCGCUCAUUGCUAGCACAGCAGUCUGAGAUCAAACUGCAAGGCGGCAGCGAGGCUGGGGGAGGGGCGCUCACUGUUGCCGAGACUUGAUUAGGUAAAUGAAGUGGCUGAGAAGCUUGAACUGGGUGGAGCCCACCACAGCUCAAGGAGGCCUGCCUGCUUCUGUAGGCUCCACCUCUGGGGGCAGGGCACAGACAAACAAAAAGACAGCAGUAACCUCUGCAGACUUAAAUGUCCCUCUCUGACAGCUUUGAAGAGAGUAGUGGUUCUCUCAGCACGCAGCUUGAGAUCUGAGAAUGGGCAGAAUGCCUUCUCAAGUGGGUCCCUGACCCCCGAGUAGCCUAACUGGGAGGCACCCCCCAGUAGGGGCGGACUGACACCUCACACGGCUGAGUACUUCUCUGAGACAAAACUUCCAGAGGAAUGAUCAGGCAACAGCAUUUGCAGUUCACCAAUAUCCGCUGUUCUGCAGCCACCGCUGCUGAUAUCCAGGCAAACAGGGUCUGGAGUGGACCUCUAGCAAACUCCAACAGACCUGCAGCUGAGGGUCCUGUUGUUAGAAGGAAAACUAACAAACAGGAAGGACAUCCACACCAAAAACCCAUCUGUACAUCACCAUCAUCAAAGACCAAAGGUAGAUAAAACCACAAAGAUGGGGAAAAAACAGAGCAGAAAAACUGGAAACUCUAAAAAUCAGAGCGCCUCUCCUCCUCUAAAGGAAAGCAGCUCCUCACCAGCAAUGGAACAAAGCUGGAUGGAGAAUGACUUGGACAAGUUGAGAGAAGAAGGCUUCAGACGAUCAAACUACUCCUAGCUACAGGAGGAAGUUCAAACCAAUGGCAAAGAAGUUAAAAGCUUUGAAAAAAAAUUAGACCAACGGAUAACUAGAAUAACCAAUGCAGAGAAGUCCUUAAAGGACCUGAUGGAGCUGAAAACCAAGGCAUGAGAACUACGUGACGAAUGCAGAAGCCUCAGCAGCCGAUGCGAUCAACUGGAAGAAAGGGUAUCAGUGAUGCAAGAAGAAAUGAAUGAAAUGAAGCGAGAAGAGAAGUUUAGAGAAAAAAGAACAAAAAGAAACGAACAAAGCCUCCAAGAAAUAUGUGACUAUGUGAAAAGACCAAAGCUACGUCUGAUUGGUGUACCUGAAAGUGACGGGGAGAAUGGAACCAAGUUGGAAAACACUCUGCAGGAUAUUAUCCAGGAGAACUUCCCCAAUCUAGCAAGGCAGGCCAACAUUCAAAUUCAGGAAAUACAGAGAACGCCACAAAGAUACACCUUGAGAAGAGCAACUCCAAGACACAUAAUUGUCAGAUUCACCAAAGUUGAAAUGAAGGAAAAAAUGUUAAGGGCAGCCAGAGAGAAAGGUCGGGUUACCAUCAAAGGGAAGCCCAUCAGACUAACAGCUGAUCUCUCGGCAGAAACUCUACAAGCCAGAAGAGAGUGGGGGCCAAUAUUCAACAUUCUUAAAGAAAAGAAUUUUCAACCCAGAAUUUCAUAUCCAGCCAAACUAAGCUUCAUAAGUGAAGGAGAAAUAAAAUACUUUACAGACAAGCAAAUGCUGAGAGAUUUUGUCACCAGCAGGCCUGCCCUAAAAGAGCUCCUGAAGGAAGCACUAAACAUGGAAAGGAACAACCAGUACCAGCCACUGCAAAAACAUGCGAAAUUGAAAAGACCAUCAAGGCUAGGAAGAAACUGCAUCAGCUAACGAGCAAAAUAGCCAGCUGACAUCAUAAUGACAGGAUCAAAUUCACACAUAACAAGAUUAACUUUGAAUGUAAAUGGGCUAAAUGCUCCAAUUAAAAGACACAGACUGGCAAAUUGGAUAAAGAGUCAAGACCCAUCAGUGUGCUAUAUUCAGGAAACCCAUCUCACAUUCAGAGACACACAUAGGCUCAAAAUAAAGGGAUGGAGGAAGAUCUACCAAGCAAAUGGAAAACAGAAAAAGGCAGGGGUUGCAAUCCUAGUCUCUGAUAAAACAGACUUUAAACCAACAAAGAUCAAAUGAGACAAGGCCAUUACAUAAUGGUAAAGGGAUCAAUUCAACAAGAAGAGCUAACUAUCCUAAAUAUAUAUGCACCCAAUACAGGAGCACCCAGAUUCAUAAAGCAAGUCUUAGUGACCUACAAAGAGACUUAGACUCCCACACAAUAAUAAUGGGAGACUUUAACACCCCACUGUCAACAUUAGACAGAUCAACGAGACAGAAAGUUAACAAGGAUACCCAGGAAUUGAACUCAGCUCUGCACCAAGCAGACCUAAUAGACAUCUACAGAACUCUCCACCCCAAAUCAACAGAAUAUACAUUCUUUUCAGCACCACACCACACCUAUUCCAAAAUUGACCACAUAGUUGGAAGUAAAGCACUCCUCAGCAAAUGUAAAAGAACAGAAAUUAUAACAAACUGUCUCUCAGACCACAGUGCAAUCAAACUAGAACUCAGGAUUAAGAAACUCACUCAAAACCACUCAACUACAUGGAAACUGAACAACCUGCUCCUGAAUGACUACUGGGUACAUAAUGAAAUGAAGGCAGAAAUAAAGAUGUUCUUUAAAACCAAUGAGAACAAAGACACAACAUACCAGAGUCUCUGGGACACAUUCAAAGCAGUGUGUAGAGGGAAAUUUAUAGCACUAAAUGCCCACAAGAGAAAGCAGGAAAGAUCUAAAAUUGACACCCUAACAUCACAAUUAAAAGAACUAGAAAAGCAAGAGCAAACACAGUCAAAAGCUAGCAGAAGGCAAGAAACAACUAAGAUCAGAGCAGAACUGAAGGAAAUAGAGACACAAAAAACCCUUCAAAAAAUUAAUGAAUCCAAGAGCUGGUUUUUUGAAAAGAUCAACAAAAUUGAUAGACUGCUAGCAAGACUAAUAAAGAAGAAAAGAGAGAAGAAUCAAAUAGACGCAAUAAAAAAUGAUAAAGGGGAUAUCACCACCGAUCCCACAGAAAUACAAACUACCAUCAGAGAAUACUAUAAACACCUCUACGCAAAUAAACUAGAAAAUCUAGAAGAAGUGGAUAAAUUCCUCGACACAUACAUCCUCCCAAGACUAAACCAGGAAGAAGUUGAAUCUCUGAAUAGACCAGUAACAGGCUCUGAAAUUGAGGCAACAAUCAAUAGCUUACCAACCAGAAAAAGUCCAGGACCAGAUGGAUUCACAGCUGCAUUCUACCAGAGGUACAAGGAGGAGCUGGUACCAUUCCUUCUGAAACUAUUCCAAUCAAUAGAAAAAGAGAGAGUCCUCCCUAACUCAUUUUAUGAGGCCAGCAUCAUCCUGAUACCAAAAGAGACACAAUGAAAAAAGAGAAUUUUAGACCAAUAUCCUUGAUGAACAUUGAUGCAAAAAUCCUCAAUAAAAUACUGGCAAACUGAAUCCAGCAGCACAUCAAAAAGCUUAUCCACCAUGAUCAAGUGGGCUUCAUCCCUGGGAUGCAAGGCUGGUUCAACAUAUGCAAAUCAAUAAAUGUAAUCCAGCAUAUAAAUAGAACCAAAGACAAAAACCACAUGACUAUCUCGAUAGAUGCAGAAAAAGCCUUUGACAAAAUUCAACAACACUUCAUGCUAAAAACUCUCAAUAAAUUAGGAAUUGAUGGGACGUAUCUCAAAAUAAUAAGAGCUAUCUAUGACAAACCCACAGCCAAUAUCAUACUGAAUGGGCAAAAACUGGAAGCAUUCCCUUUGAAAACUGGCACAAGACAGGGAUGCCCUCUCUCACCACUCCUAUUCAACAUAGUGUUGGAAGUUCUGGCCAGGGCAAUCAGGCAGGAGAAGGAAAUAAAGGGUAUUCAAUUAGGAAAAGAGGAAGUCAAAUUGUCCUUGUUUGCAGAUGACAUGAUUGUAUAUCUAGAAAACCCCAUUGUCUCAGCCCAAAAUCUCCUUAAGCUGAUAAGCAACUUCAGCAAAGUCUCAGGAUACAAAAUCAAUGUGCAAAAAUCACAAGCAUUCUUAUACACCAAUAACAGACAAACAGAGAGCCAAAUCAUGAGUGAACUCCCAUUCACAAUUGCUUCAAAGAGAAUAAAAUACCUAGGAAUCCAAGUUACAAGGGAUGUGAAGGACCUCUUCAAGGAGAACUACAAACCACUGCUCAAUGAAAUAAAAGAGGAUACAAACAAAUGGAAGAACCUUCCAUGCUCAUGGGUAGGAAGAAUCAAUAUUGUGAAAAUGGCCAUACUGCCCAAGGUAAUUUAUAGAUUCAGUGCCAUCCCCAUUAAGCCACCAAUGACUUUCUUCACAGAAUUGGAAAAAACUGCUUUAAAGUUCAUAUGGAACCAAAAAAGAGCCUGCAUCGCCAAGUCAAUCCUAAGCCAAAAGAACAAAGCUGGAGGCAUCACACUACCUGACUUCAAACUAUACUACAAGGCUACAGGAACCAAAACAGCAUGGUACUGGUACCAAAACAGAGAUAUAGACCAAUGGAACAGAACAGAGCCCUCAGAAAUAAUGCCACAUAUCUACAACUAUCUGAUCUUUGAGAAACCUGACAAAAGUAAUGGGGAAAGGAUUCCCUAUUUAAUAAAUGGUGCUGGGAAAACUGGCUAGCCAUAUGUAGAAAGCUGAAACUGGAUCCCUUCCUUACACCUCAUACAAAAAUCAAUUCAAGAUGGAUUAAAGACUUAAAUGUUAGACCUAAAACCAUAAAAUCCCUAGAAGAAAACCUAAGCAAUACUAUUCAGGACAUAGGCACGGGCAAGGACUUCAUGUCUAAAACACCAAAAGCAAUGGCAACACAAGCCAAAAUUGACAAAUGGGAUCUAAUUAAACUAAAGAGCUUCUGCACAGCAAAAGAAACUACCAUCAGAGUGAACAGGCAACCUACAAAAUGGGAGAAAAUUUUCGGAACAUACUCAUCUGACAAAGGGCUAAUAUCCAGAAUCUACAAUGAACUCAAACAAAUUUACAAGAAAAAAACAACCCCAUCAAAAAGUGGGCGAAGGACAUGAACAGACACUUCUCAAAAAAGAAGACAUUUAUGCAGCCAAAAAACACAUGAAAAAAUGCUCAUCAUCACUGGCCAUCAGAGAAAUGCAAAUCAAAACCACAAUGAGAUACCACCUCACACAAGUUAGAAUGGUGAUCAUUAAAAAGUCAGGAAACAACAGGUGCUGGAGAGGAUGUGGAGAAAUAGGAACACUUUUACACUGUUGUUGGGACUGUAAACUAGUUCAACCAUUGUGGAAGUCAGUGUGGCGAUUCCUCAGGGAUCAGAACUAGAAAUACCAUUUGACCCAGCCAUCCCAUUACUGGAUAUAUACCCAAAGGAUUAUAAAUCAUGCUGCUAUAAAGACACAUGCACACAUAUGUUUAUUGCGGCACUAUUCACAAUAGCAAAGACUUGGAACCAACCCAAAUAUCCAACAACGAUAGACUGGAUUAAGAAAAUGUGGCACAUACACACCAUGGAAUACUAUGCAGCCAUAAAAAAUGAUGAGUUCAUGUCCUUUGUAGGGACAUGGAUGAAACUGGAAACCAUCAUUCUCAGCAAACUAUUGCAAGGACAAAAAACGAAACACCGCAUGCUCUCACUCAUAGAUGGGAAUUGAACAAUGAGAACACAUGGACACAGGAAGGGGAACAUCACA
Molecule: RNA transcript, 7967 nt
Organism: Pongo pygmaeus (Bornean orangutan)
Lineage: Eukaryota; Metazoa; Chordata; Mammalia; Primates; Hominidae
Gene: ZNF572
Gene name: zinc finger protein 572
Exons: 4
Source: RefSeq, a predicted model, not a curated record